CCGUUUACGGGGGGGAACGCGAAGAACCUUACCUACUCUUGACAUCCAGAGAAUUCGCUAGAGAUAGCUUAGUGCCUUCGGGAACUCUGAGACAGGUGCUGCAUGGCUGUCGUCAGCUCGUGUUGUGAAAUGUUGGGUUAAGUCCCGCAACGAGCGCAACCCUUAUCCUUUGUUGCCAGCACGUAAUGGUGGGAACUCAAAGGAGACUGCCGGUGAUAAACCGGAGGAAGGUGGGGAUGACGUCAAGUCAUCAUGGCCCUUACGAGUAGGGCUACACACGUGCUACAAUGGCGUAUACAAAGAGAAGCGAACUCGCGAGAGCAAGCGGACCUCAUAAAGUACGUCGUAGUCCGGAUCGGAGUCUGCAACUCGACUCCGUGAAGUCGGAAUCGCUAGUAAUCGUAGAUCAGAAUGCAUGCCCU
RNAcentral lists this ribosomal RNA (422 nucleotides) under uncultured bacterium. RNAcentral describes it as "bacterial SSU rRNA". It matches the Rfam family "Bacterial small subunit ribosomal RNA", at positions 942 to 1363 of the family's 1533-position model. The record is from RNAcentral.